RNAcentral lists this ribosomal RNA (460 nucleotides) under uncultured Porphyromonadaceae bacterium. RNAcentral describes it as "bacterial SSU rRNA". It matches the Rfam family "Bacterial small subunit ribosomal RNA", at positions 338 to 795 of the family's 1533-position model. Lineage: Bacteria; Pseudomonadati; Bacteroidota; Bacteroidia; Bacteroidales; Porphyromonadaceae. The record is from RNAcentral.
CCUACGGGCGGCUGCAGUGAGGAAUAUUGGUCAAUGGGGGCAACUCUGAACCAGCCAAGUCGCGUGAAGGAUGACAGCCCUACGGGUUGUAAACUUCUUUUAUAAGGGAAUAAAGUGAGCCACGUGUGGCUUUUUGCAAGUACCUUACGAAUAAGGAUCGGCUAACUCCGUGCCAGCAGCCGCGGUAAUACGGAGGAUCCGAGCGUUAUCCGGAUUUAUUGGGUUUAAAGGGUGCGCAGGCGGAGGAUUAAGUCAGCGGUGAAAGUUUGCAGCUUAACUGUAAAAUUGCCGUUGAAACUGGUUUUCUUGAGUGUAUAUGAAGUAGGCGGAAUUUGUAGUGUAGCGGUGAAAUGCAUAGAUAUUACAAGGAACUCCGAUUGCGAAGGCAGCUUACUAAAAUACAACUGACGCUCAGGCACGAAGGCGUGGGUAUCAAACAGGAUUAGAUACCCCAGUAGUC